This 251-nucleotide ribosomal RNA is filed under the name uncultured bacterium. Its description in RNAcentral is "partial 16S ribosomal RNA". It matches the Rfam family "Bacterial small subunit ribosomal RNA", at positions 524 to 774 of the family's 1533-position model. The record is from RNAcentral.
UACGUAGGGGGCGAGCGUUGUCCGGAAUGACUGGGCGUAAAGGGAGUGUAGGCGGCUAUGUAGGUUAGAUGUGAAAUCCCACGGCUCAACCGUGGAACUGCAUCUAAAACUGUGUAGCUGGAGUGCAGGAGAGGUGAGUGGAAUUCCUAGUGUAGCGGUGGAAUGCGUAGAUAUUAGGAGGAACACCGGAGGCGAAGGCGGCUCACUGGACUGUAACUGACGCUGAGGCUCGAAAGCGUGGGGAGCAAACA